GGAGCUUACGCGUUAAGUGUACCGCCUGGGGAGUACGGCCGCAAGGCUAAAACUCAAAAGAAAAUUGACGGGUCCCCGCACAAGCGGAGGAGCAUGCGGCUCAAUUCGAUGCAACGCGAAGAACCUUACCAGGGCUUGGCAUGCAACUGCACGUCCCGUGAAAGUGGGACUCCUUCGAGGGUGUUGCACAGGUGCUGCAUGGCUGUCGUCAGUUCGUGCCGUGAGGUGUUUGGUUAAGUCCAUCAACGAACGCAACCCUUGUGUUUAGUUGCCACCACCGGUGAUGAGCCGGUGAGCACUCUAGACAGACUGCCCAUAUUAAGUGGGAGGAAGGUGGGGAUGACGUCAAGUCCGUAUGGCCCUUAUGUCCUGGGCUGCACGCGUGCUACAAUGGUCGGUACAGAGGGACGCAAUACCGCGAGGUGGAGCAAAUCCCCAAAAACCGAUCUCAGUCCGGAUUGGAGUCUGCAAUUCGACUCCAUGAAGUUGGAUUCGCUAGUAAUGGCACAUCAGCUACGGUGCCGUGAAUACGUUCCCGGGGAUUGUACACACCGCCCGUCACAUCAUGAAAGCUGUCUGCACCAGAAGUUGCUGUUCUAA
RNAcentral lists this ribosomal RNA (600 nucleotides) under uncultured bacterium. RNAcentral describes it as "bacterial SSU rRNA". It matches the Rfam family "Bacterial small subunit ribosomal RNA", at positions 848 to 1438 of the family's 1533-position model. The record is from RNAcentral.